UGGGGAAUCUUGCACAAUGGGCGAAAGCCUGAUGCAGCAACGCCGCGUGCGGGAAGAAGGCCCUAGGGUUGUAAACCGCUUUCAGUAGGGAAGCGGUACCUACAGAAGAAGGUGCGGCCAACUACGUGCCAGCAGCCGCGGUGACACGUAGGCACCAAGCGUUAUCCGGAUUUAUUGGGCGUAAAGAGCUCGUAGGCGGUUUGGUAAGUCGGGUGUGAAAACUCUGGGCUCAACCCAGAGAGGCCACUCGAUACUGCUAGACUAGAGUACGGUAGGGGAGCGGGGAAUUCAUGGUGUAGCGGUGAAAUGCGCAGAUAUCAUGAGGAACACCAGCGGCGAAGGCGCCGCUCUGGGCCGUAACUGACGCUGAGGAGCGAAAGCAUGGGUAGCAAACAGGAUUAGAUACCCCGGUAGU
Molecule: ribosomal RNA, 415 nt
Filed under: uncultured bacterium
Lineage: Bacteria
Description: bacterial SSU rRNA
Rfam family: Bacterial small subunit ribosomal RNA
Source: RNAcentral